This 321-nucleotide long non-coding RNA is filed under the name Lathyrus oleraceus (garden pea). RNAcentral's name for it is "Pisum sativum (pea) long non-coding RNA (PSAT_LNC024246)". The record is from RNAcentral. Lineage: Eukaryota; Viridiplantae; Streptophyta; Magnoliopsida; Fabales; Fabaceae.
UUUGAAUCAUAUUCAUCAUUGUCAUCAUAAUAAUCAUAAUUGUAGAUUAAAAUAAUGGUGAUGAUUCAGAAUUAUUCAAUAAUAUAAUACAUUGCAAAAUAAAUUAUAAGAAAAUGAAUUGUUGCUGUGAAAAACUAGACGCAUUGAAACAAAUUCUAUAUGUUAAAGAGCAGAGAGAUGAAUUACAAGAUGCAUGUAAUUCAAAAAACAGUGAAGCGUCUAAGUUGUUUUUCAAAAGUAAUUUAACUUUUCAGAUUUUUAUGUUCUAAAUCAAUUUGAAUGAUUAUAUAUGUUUAUUGAGGGGUAAGGAAAAACAAACAA